Non-coding RNA from Schizosaccharomyces pombe (fission yeast), 215 nucleotides. Lineage: Eukaryota; Fungi; Ascomycota; Schizosaccharomycetes; Schizosaccharomycetales; Schizosaccharomycetaceae. The record is from the annotation of a GenBank genome assembly.
UUAAACAAUAACAUUCUCAGAUUUCGAUAACGCAAGCUUCCAUUUUUUACGAUUCAACGAGUUUUGGGUUUUCAACUUUACGAUCAGAAUGCUGUGUCAAGCUAAGUUUUAAAUCGUUCAACAAAUCCUUUACCAGAUUUUGAUUGGUAUAUUACAGAAUCAUAAUGAAGGGACAUUUUUGAAUCUCCUAUGAAAAAUACCCUCUUUUCAAGCUC